RNAcentral lists this transfer RNA (69 nucleotides) under Purpura persica. RNAcentral describes it as "tRNA-Arg". Lineage: Eukaryota; Metazoa; Mollusca; Gastropoda; Neogastropoda; Muricidae. The record is from RNAcentral.
GUAUAAAAAGCGAGAAAUUUGCGUAUGGUUUCGGCCCAUGUCUUGAGGGUGAAAGUCCUUCUUUAUAUU